AGGGAGAAAGGGAGGUGAGUGCAUAGGUGAAGAUGGAAGCCAUAGAGAGAGAGAUAUGAAAGGGAUAAGUAAACAAGGGUAUUAUGGAUAAAAGGCCAGUACAGAAGAGGAGCUGAAUAAGUGUUAACAAGGGCUAAGAGUGUGAGAGAAUAAAUGAGCUGUACUGAAAGCAACCCAUCUAAUGUGAUAAAGGGUCUAGAAGUAGGUGAGAAUUAGUGAUUGUAUGAAAGCAACCCAUGUCAUAACAGCACCAGGUGAGGGGUGGAUAUAUUCCCCAACACACUAUUCUGGGUUACCAGUCCAGUGGUAUGACCACUAUGCUACCACCUGCAUCUACCUGGCUGUCUCCUGAUUUAGAGAUUCCAAAUUUGAGACUCACCGAGUACAGCCCUCAGCACUGCACAGGGUCAAAGCUCAGUGACCCACUCCUCUCAUGUUAAUCAUUAAACCAGUGAACCAAUAAAAAGAAGAUAAAAGUACUUCACAGGAACUAUUUAUAACUAGUCCGACGGAGCUCAAUGAAAGGUUGCUGGAUCUCUGUGCCACAAGUUGGAGCUGAAUACUUUUCUAUGAAAAGUAGGAAGUUUGGACUUAUUUCAAACACCACCACAGGGAGUGGAAUGCAAGAGAAAAGACAGAUCCCUUCAAUGAAGAUUCCAGCUGAUCCCUCCUCGAGGCAACUUCCUCCGAGUCAGCGCUGAAAGAACGAAGCCUUGUUGUUACUUAUUAAUGGUCCUUGGAAGGAAAUCUGCAUUCCUUACCCGGAUCUGGCCUACAUUAUAGGAAGUAAGCAGGAGAAUGGGGCUGCGAAACAAAUGUCACAGCAGACUCAAUGGGCUGAAUAGCCUAGUUCUGUUCCUAUAGCUUGUGUUAAAGUGUGGUUGACUCUUAACUCUCCUCUGAGCAAUUAGGAAUGGACAAUAAAUGCUGGUCUAGCCAGUGAUGCCCAUAUCCCAUGAUUUAAUGAUUAAAAAUGACCUGAUCCUGUUCCUUGUGUUCUUAUGUUUCACAUCUGGUAUGUGCUGUUGGACUGGUGGAUUGAAGCAGGGAAA
Non-coding RNA from Chiloscyllium plagiosum (whitespotted bambooshark), 1052 nucleotides. The record is from RefSeq and is a predicted model, not a curated record. NCBI's taxonomy places the organism in Eukaryota, Metazoa, Chordata, Chondrichthyes, Orectolobiformes, Hemiscylliidae.